CUCACGCUAACUCCUGUCGUCGGAACCUCCCCGCCGCAGCCCUAAACUCCUCUCCGCCAACAUCUUCGCCCAUCCUCUCUCCAUCGAAGCCCUCUCCGGCCUAGUCGGGUGUCGCCGUCACCUUCUUCCGUUGGGUGUGAUCCUGCUACCUCAACGACCAGCACCCACCCUACGCGUGGAACCUUGUGGUCGACCUCCUCGGCAAGAACUUUUUGACGCCAAGUGAAACUCUGUCCACUCCAUGCAAUCCGAGGGCCUUCUCUCCAUGCCUCCUACAAUGGUGAUCUUGAUUUUUAGUACUGCCACAUCUCCAAAGGUGCAUGACCCUUUUCCAUAGCAGAUAAUGGGUGUAGAUUGCACGACAGAAGAACUUAAGGCAGACCUCUUGUUAUCUAAAAUUUCUUCAAAGAUUGUUUGUGAUCCAAUUGAAGCAAGGAAGUUUUCUGAUCCAAUCUUUGCUUGUGUAGGAGAUUAUGGUCUUAGCGAUGCUGGUUUUCUCUGGAAUUGUUCUGCUGCACGUUCUUCUAGUGGUUGCAACUGAACCUGCACCAUCUUCCACGGAUAGCAAUAGUGAAGGAAGCUUCAAGAACCUUGACAAAUUGACCAUGGGGCAUGUCAA
This is a long non-coding RNA of Zingiber officinale, 619 nucleotides long. RefSeq lists it as uncharacterized. The transcript has 3 exons. The record is from RefSeq and is a predicted model, not a curated record. Lineage: Eukaryota; Viridiplantae; Streptophyta; Magnoliopsida; Zingiberales; Zingiberaceae.